UCGGCUCUCGGUUUCUUACAGCUUGAUGGAAGGGAGUCAUCUUCUAGUCUAGUACUCCCUCUGUAAACUAAUAUAAGAGCGUUUAGAUCACUAUGAUCUAAACGCUCUUAUAUUAGUUUACAGAGGGAGUACCAAUUUGACGUUUGUAUAUUGUACAAAAAAGAAAGAAACAGGAACCGCACACGAUGAGUAGCUGUUGUUCCAAAGAUACAGGCCACUAUAAACAGAGAACAAUCUCGGGAUACUUUACAGAGCACAACCAAAAAAAUGUCCACUUUGUACGUGGGGGGUGGAGGACAGGAAAAAUGCACACAAGCCAACACAAGAGGCUUGCCAACCAAAAAAAAAUUGGAUCCGCUGUAUUGUACUUUCCUCGAACAAUCCGAGCCUUGUAUCGACAAAUGAGCCCGCAAGAGACAAAUCCUCAUAAUACCACA
This 437-nucleotide long non-coding RNA is filed under the name Triticum aestivum (bread wheat). RNAcentral's name for it is "long non-coding RNA (TAES_LNC004861)". Lineage: Eukaryota; Viridiplantae; Streptophyta; Magnoliopsida; Poales; Poaceae. The record is from RNAcentral.